Molecule: unclassified non-coding RNA, 336 nt
Filed under: soil metagenome
Description: partial contains 5.8S ribosomal RNA, internal transcribed spacer 2, and large subunit ribosomal RNA
Rfam family: 5.8S ribosomal RNA (bases 1-120)
Source: RNAcentral
GAUGAAGAACGUAGUGAAAUGCGAUAAGUAAUGUGAAUUGCAGAAUUUAGUGAAUCAUCGAAUCUUUGAACGCACAUUGCGCCCGGCAGUAUUCUGGCGGGCAUGCCUGUUCGAGCGUCAUUUCAACCAUCAAGCCCCAGGCUUGUGUUGGGGACCUGCGGCUGCCGCAGGCCCUGAAAACCAGUGGCGGGCUCGCUGUCACACCGGGCGUAGUAGAUUUUAUCUCGCUCAGGGCGUGCUGCGGGUUCCGGCCGUUAAAAAGCCUUUUUUACCCAAGGUUGACCUCGGAUCAGGUAGGAAUACCCGCUGAACUUAAGCAUAUCAAUAAGCGGAGGA